Molecule: ribosomal RNA, 226 nt
Filed under: uncultured bacterium
Lineage: Bacteria
Description: partial 16S ribosomal RNA
Rfam family: Bacterial small subunit ribosomal RNA
Source: RNAcentral
UACGUAGGGGCGAGCGUUGUCCGGAUUUAUUGGGCGUAAAAGGCUUGUAGGUGGCCACGCCAAGUCGGAUGUGAAAUCUCCCGGCUCAACUGGGAGGGUCAUUCGAUACUGGCGGGCUCGAGGCCGGUAGGGGUAGCGGAAUUCCCGGUGUAGUGGUGGAAUGCGUAGAUAUCGGGAGGAACACCAGUGGCGAAGGCGGCUACCUGGACCGGUUCUGACACUGAGG